GACAGAGGUGCCGAGCGUUAGGCGGAAUCACUGGGCUUAAAGCGUGUGUAGGCGGGUCGUUAAGUGUCUUGUGAAAUCCCCCGGCUCAACCGGGGAAUGGCUGGGCAUACUGGCGAUCUUGAGCAGUCUAGGGGCAGAUGGAACAAGUGGUGGAGCGGUGAAAUGCGUAGAUAUCGUUUGGAACGCCAAUGGUGAAAACAGCUCGCUGGGGACGUACCGACGCUGAGACACGAAAGCCAGGGGAGCGAACGGG
RNAcentral lists this ribosomal RNA (253 nucleotides) under uncultured bacterium. Its description in RNAcentral is "partial 16S ribosomal RNA". It matches the Rfam family "Bacterial small subunit ribosomal RNA", at positions 524 to 776 of the family's 1533-position model. The record is from RNAcentral.